This 253-nucleotide ribosomal RNA is filed under the name uncultured bacterium. RNAcentral's name for it is "partial 16S ribosomal RNA". It matches the Rfam family "Bacterial small subunit ribosomal RNA", at positions 524 to 776 of the family's 1533-position model. The record is from RNAcentral.
UACGAAGGGGGCUAGCGUUGCUCGGAAUCACUGGGCGUAAAGCGCACGUAGGCGGAUUGCUAAGUCAGGGGUGAAAUCCUGGAGCUCAACUCCAAAACUGCCUUUGAUACUGGCGAUCUUGAGUCCGGGAGAGGUGAGUGGAACUGCGAGUGUAGAGGUGAAAUUCGUAGAUAUUCGCAAGAACACCAGUGGCGAAGGCGGCUCACUGGCCCGGUACUGACGCUGAGGUGCGAAAGCGUGGGGAGCAAACAGG